CUGGGAUAGGAGGAGGAGGAAUUUGCUCUUACCCAAUAAAGUAUAUGGGUCCCAUCUGAUAGUGGCUUAAACCCCGGACUUUGCUGAAAGCUUCAGUUCCCCUCCUGCCCAGGCUGGUUCUUUGUGCAGGAGCAGCUGCUACUGCUUCUGGAGAUAGCUUGUUGCAGAGCUUGGCGUGCUCUGCUCUCCUCAUCCUUCUGUUGAUCUCCCCUUUGGCACCUUUGGCUGCACCACCUGCAGAAGCAGCUGGAGGAUGGGGGGCAUUGUCCUGUGCAGAAUUUGUAUCCCAGCUGGGUACAGUGGUGCACACCUGUCAUCUCAGCAUUGGGAAGGCUGAGCAAGGAAGAUUGUGAGUUCAGAGCCAACCUGGAUUAUAUAGCGAUACCUUGUCUGAGG
RNAcentral lists this long non-coding RNA (396 nucleotides) under Heterocephalus glaber (naked mole-rat). Its description in RNAcentral is "lncRNA (ENSHGLG00000047829.1)". The record is from RNAcentral. Lineage: Eukaryota; Metazoa; Chordata; Mammalia; Rodentia; Bathyergidae.